This is a non-coding RNA of Cinara cedri, 544 nucleotides long. NCBI's taxonomy places the organism in Eukaryota, Metazoa, Arthropoda, Insecta, Hemiptera, Aphididae. The record is from the annotation of a GenBank genome assembly.
AUAUACCGCGAAGGCAGACACCUGCAGCAGCAGCAGUCGACUGUUACGAUAUUUACGUACAUAAUAUAGUCGUGUGUCGGGUCGCGCAUUUACAGACCUUAUCCGAGUUCGGCUCUAAGUAAACGUACGCUCCUCCGUCGAUCGGGACCCAGCGUUUCCGUUUUACGCUUAGGACGCGAACUACUCCGGGAAAACACUAUUGGAUUUUUUACGGACCUCGCUCGUAAGAUCGCCACGACGCUCCAUUUUCGUCACGUUGGUUUGAGAAAAACGCGCCUGUUUUAAAUUUCAGUUAUUUACCGACGUGCCGAUUUUCGAGUUAUAACAACGAAACGCGUAUCGUUUGACGUUUGACGCGUUUAAAAACUAUGCACACGCACACACACUAUUAAGAUAUCUUCCGUUUCUGUGGUUAUGAUUAGGGCACGGAUUUAAACACACUUAAGAUACGUAAAAAAACGCUUAAACCGUUAAAAAAGCACUUAAAAAUAUUUUAAAAUGCUAAAAAUGGUAGACGAUAAUUCUUACCCCAUUAAAUACGUUU